CCUACGGGAGGCAGCAGUAGGGAAUAUUGGGCAAUGGAGGCAACUCUGACCCAGCCAUGCCGCGUGCAGGAUGAAGGCGUUAUGCGUUGUAAACUGCUUUUAUAUAGGAAGAAAUAGACCUUGCGAGGUAAGUUGACGGUACUAUAUGAAUAAGCACCGGCUAACUCCGUGCCAGCAGCCGCGGUAAUACGGAGGGUGCAAGCGUUGUCCGGAUUUAUUGGGUUUAAAGGGUGCGUAGGCGGUUUAUUAAGUCAGUGGUGAAAGACGGUCGCUCAACGAUUGCAGUGCCAUUGAUACUGGUAGACUUGAGUGGGAUUGAGGUAGCUGGAAUGGAUAGUGUAGCGGUGAAAUGCAUAGAUAUUAUCCAGAACACCAAUUGCGUAGGCAAGUUACUAAGUCUCAACUGACGCUGAGGCACGAAAGUGUGGGUAUCAAACAGGAUUAGAUACCCUGGUAGUCCACACUGUAAACGAUGAUAACUAACUGUUGGCUUUCGGGUCAGUGGUACAGAGAAAUCGUUAAGUUAUCCACCUGGGGAGUACGCCGGCAACGGUGAAACUCAAAUGAAUUGACCGGNNGAGAGAGCGACGACGACGACGAGGGAGGAGG
This 609-nucleotide ribosomal RNA is filed under the name uncultured bacterium. Its description in RNAcentral is "bacterial SSU rRNA". It matches the Rfam family "Bacterial small subunit ribosomal RNA", at positions 338 to 1212 of the family's 1533-position model. The record is from RNAcentral.